GAGUUUGAUCCUGGCUCAGAAUGAACGCUGGCGGCGUGCUUAACACAUGCAAGUCGAACGGUAACAGGAGAAGCUUGCUUCUUGCUGACGAGUGGCGCACGGGUGAGUAAUGCAUAGGUAACGUGCCCCUUAGUCUGGGAUAGCCACUGGAAACGGUGAAUAAUACUGGAUACUCCUUCUACCUUGAUGGUAGUUGGGAAAGUUUUUCGCUAAGGGAUCGGCCUAUGUUGUAUCAGGUAGUUGGUGAGGUAAUGGCUCACCAAGCCUAUGACACAUAGCGGGUCCGAGAGGAUGAUCCGCCACACUGGUACUGAGACACGGACCAGACUCCUACGGGAGGCAGCAGUGGGGAAUAUUGCACAAUGGACGAAAGUCUGAUGCAGCAACGCCGCGUGGAGGAUGACACAUUUCGGUGCGUAAACUCCUUUUAUAUAAGAAGAUAAUGACGGUAUUAUAUGAAUAAGCACCGGCUAACUCCGUGCCAGCAGCCGCGGUAAUACGGAGGGUGCAAGCGUUAUUCGGAAUCACUGGGCGUAAAGGGUGCGUAGGCGGUUUGGAAAGUCAGAUGUGAAAGCCUACAGCUUAACUGUAGAACUGCAUUUGAAACUUCCAGACUAGAAUACUGAAGGGGCAGAUGGAAUUAGUGGUGUAGGGGUAAAAUCCGUAGAUAUCACUAGGAAUACCGAAAGCGAAAGCGAUCUGCUGGGAAGUUAUUGACGCUGAGGCACGAAAGCGUGGGGAGCAAACGGGAUUAGAUACCCCGGUAGUCCACGCCCUAAACGAUGAAUGCUAGUCGUCGGAAAGCUCGUCUUUUCGGUGAUGCAGUUAACACAUUAAGCAUUCCGCCUGGGGAGUACGGUCGCAAGAUUAAAACUCAAAGGAAUAGACGGGGACCCGCACAAGUGGUGGGGCAUGUGGUUUAAUUCGAAGAUACGCGAAGAACCUUACCUAGCCUUGACAUUGAUAGAAUCUGGUAGAGAUACCGG
Molecule: ribosomal RNA, 986 nt
Filed under: uncultured bacterium
Lineage: Bacteria
Description: bacterial SSU rRNA
Rfam family: Bacterial small subunit ribosomal RNA
Source: RNAcentral